GAUGAACGCUGGCGGUCUGCUUAACACAUGCAAGUCGAACGGACCCUUCGGGGUUAGUGGCGGACGGGUGAGUAACGUCGUGAGAAUCUGCCUUUCAGGUCUGGCACAACAGAAGGAAACUUCUGCUAAUCCGGGAAUGAGCCUUUUAGAUAAAAGAUAAAUUGCCUGGAGAUGAGCUCGCGUCUGAUUAGCUAGUUGGUGUAGGUAAAAGCAUACCAAGGCAACGAUCAGUAGACUAGGUCUGAGA
RNAcentral lists this ribosomal RNA (247 nucleotides) under uncultured cyanobacterium. RNAcentral's name for it is "partial 16S ribosomal RNA". It matches the Rfam family "Bacterial small subunit ribosomal RNA", at positions 28 to 297 of the family's 1533-position model. Lineage: Bacteria; Bacillati; Cyanobacteriota. The record is from RNAcentral.